CAAUUACCGUUCGCAACAAUGUUGCAAACGGGUAAUUGGCAAUCAGUGCAGUGUGUGCUUUGUCCUCUGGGUGGCCGCCAUUCGGGAGACGAACACGUGGCGGCGGCCAUCUUAAACUCCCGAAUAGCGGUGUUUUGCCGUAGAGUGUCUGGAACCCAAAUCAGACACUCGGCAAGGCAAACACCGCUGAGACCUCCACACUGCCGUCAAUUGGGCAGACUAGAUGGUUCUUAUCUGCCGUCACAUUCUAUGUUUCUAUGUUUCUAAUUCGUGUCGAAAC
This is a non-coding RNA of Pelobates cultripes (western spadefoot toad), 280 nucleotides long. The record is from the annotation of a GenBank genome assembly. Lineage: Eukaryota; Metazoa; Chordata; Amphibia; Anura; Pelobatidae.